This 252-nucleotide ribosomal RNA is filed under the name uncultured bacterium. RNAcentral's name for it is "partial 16S ribosomal RNA". It matches the Rfam family "Bacterial small subunit ribosomal RNA", at positions 524 to 776 of the family's 1533-position model. The record is from RNAcentral.
UACGUAGGUCCCGAGCGUUGUCCGGAUUUAUUGGGCGUAAAGCGAGCGCAGGUGGUUUAUUAAGUCUGGUGUAAAAGGCAGUGGCUCAACCAUUGUAUGCAUUGGAAACUGGUAGACUUAAGUGCAGGAGAGGAGAGUGGAAUUCCAUGUGUAGCGGUGAAAUGCGUAGAUAUAUGGAGGAACACCGGUGGCGAAAGCGGCUCUCUGGCCUGUAACUGACACUGAGGCUCGAAAGCGUGGGGAGCAAGCAGG